CCUACGGGAGGCAGCAGUGAGGAAUAUUGGUCAAUGGACGAGAGUCUGAACCAGCCAAGUAGCGUGAAGGAUGACUGGCCUCUGGGUUGUAAACUUCUUUUAUAUGGGAAUAAAAUGUUCCACGUGUGGGGUUUUGUAUAUACCAUAUGAAUAAGGCUCGUCUAACUCCGUGCCAGCAGCCGCGGUAAUACGGAGGAUCCGAGCGUUAUCCGGAUUUAUUGGGUUUAAAGGGAGCGUAGGUGGAUUGUUAAGUCAGUUGUGAAAGUUUGCGGCUCAACCGUAAAAUUGCAGUUGAAACUGGCAGUCUUGAGUACAGGAGAGGUGGGUGGAAUUCGUGGUGUAGCGGUGAAAUGCUUAGAUAUCACGAAGAACUCCGAUUGCGAAGGCAGCUCACUGGACUGCAACUGACACUGAGGCUCGAAAGUGUGGGGAUCAAACAGGAUUAGAUACCCGAGUAGUC
Molecule: ribosomal RNA, 460 nt
Filed under: uncultured bacterium
Lineage: Bacteria
Description: partial 16S ribosomal RNA
Rfam family: Bacterial small subunit ribosomal RNA
Source: RNAcentral